RNAcentral lists this transfer RNA (70 nucleotides) under Camelus bactrianus (Bactrian camel). It matches the Rfam family "tRNA". Rfam says of the family: Transfer RNA (tRNA) molecules are approximately 80 nucleotides in length. Their secondary structure includes four short double-helical elements and three loops (D, anti-codon, and T loops). Further hydrogen bonds mediate the characteristic L-shaped molecular structure. tRNAs have two regions of fundamental functional importance: the anti-codon, which is responsible for specific mRNA codon recognition, and the 3' end, to which the tRNAs corresponding amino acid is attached (by aminoacyl-tRNA synthetases). tRNAs cope with the degeneracy of the genetic code in two manners: having more than one tRNA (with a specific anti-codon) for a particular amino acid; and 'wobble' base-pairing, i.e. permitting non-standard base-pairing at the 3rd anti-codon position. Lineage: Eukaryota; Metazoa; Chordata; Mammalia; Artiodactyla; Camelidae. RNAcentral also lists the same sequence under 2 other names. The record is from Rfam by way of RNAcentral.
AGGGUAUAGCUCAGUGGUAGAACGUAUGUUUAGCAUGCAUAAAGUCCUGGGUUCAAACCCAGUACCUCUA